AUGGAGGGUCACCAAGAUGCGAUCAACAUGACGCAGGCACUGGAGGCCUUGUCCCCCUAUCUGGAGAAUCCCCGGCGGAUAGUCAUCCGAAACGAAGCUUUUGUGGUUGUGGCAGCCGCAAUGCUGUUCCUGCAACUCAUGCUUGGUCCUUGGCGUCGGUGGUCGGGCCAUUGGUUCGUCCAAGGUACUCUCUGGCUAGCUUACACGCUCAGCUUCCCUGUGAUCACCUAUACCCUUGGUCAGAUGGUGACCUCGCCCGUGAAGAAUGUGCUGUAUCCUGUUUGGGCCCUGAUUCUCUUCUGGGCAACCGGGUCGGCCAACACCUCCGUGGCUUAUAAUAUCGAAGACAACAGGCGGUGGAAGCAGUACCUCUUUCAGCUCCUUCAGUAUGUCGUGUAUGUCGCUGUUAUAUGGGCGCUGAUUGUUGGUGCCCCAACAGCUUUAGUCAUUCCCCCUUUUUUGCUAAUAUGCCCGGUUCUUUUGGCCAACAUGCAUAGAGCACUUGCUGGUUGGAUGGCCACGGAUUCUACUCCCAGCAAAUUAGUAGCAGACUACAUUAGGGCGCAGGUUCAGGUUAAUGCAAGAUCUAGAGCUGCUCAGGAGGAGAAUUUCACAAUGAAUAGCUGCAAAUAUCGUAAGGAUGGUGCCAUCACCAUUGAGGCAAUCUGGGGGAUGACAUUUGAUGAUGACAGCCUGCUCAAUAGGUAG
This 708-nucleotide ribosomal RNA is filed under the name Triticum aestivum (bread wheat). RNAcentral describes it as "partial small subunit ribosomal RNA". The record is from RNAcentral. Lineage: Eukaryota; Viridiplantae; Streptophyta; Magnoliopsida; Poales; Poaceae.